This 263-nucleotide ribosomal RNA is filed under the name uncultured bacterium. RNAcentral describes it as "partial 16S ribosomal RNA". It matches the Rfam family "Bacterial small subunit ribosomal RNA", at positions 524 to 786 of the family's 1533-position model. The record is from RNAcentral.
UACGAGGGGUGCAAGCGUUGUUCGGAAUCACUGGGCGUAAAGGGAGCGUAGGCGGAAGUGCAAGCAAUCUGUAUAAUCCUGGGGCCCAACCCCAGUUCUGCAGAUUGGACUGUAUUUCUUGAAUAGUUCAGAGGCAAGCGGAAUUUCUGGUGUAGCGGUGGAAUGCGUAGAGAUCAGAAAGAACACCAAUGGCGAAGGCAGCUUGCUGGGGACUUAUUGACGCUGAGGCUCGAAAGUGUGGGUAGCAAACAGGAUUAGAUACC